Molecule: ribosomal RNA, 253 nt
Filed under: uncultured bacterium
Lineage: Bacteria
Description: partial 16S ribosomal RNA
Rfam family: Bacterial small subunit ribosomal RNA
Source: RNAcentral
UACGUAGGGACCGAGCGUUGUCCGGAUUCAUUGGGCGUAAAGAGCUCGUAGGCGGCCACUCAAGUCGAAUGUGAAACCUCGAGGCUUAACCUCGAGCCUGCAUUCGAUACUGGGCGGCUAGAGUCUGGUAGGGGGAUCUGGAAUUCCUGGUGUAGCGGUGGAAUGCGCAGAUAUCAGGAGGAACACCGGUGGCGAAGGCGGGAUCCUGGGCCAGUACUGACGCUCAUGCACGAAAGCGUGGGGAGCAAACAGG